GGAGGAGGAGGAGGAGGAGGAGGAGAAGAGGAGGAGUUUGAUGCAGCGAACGUGUUCAUGCACCAGGCCAUUCACACCAUCGAGUAUUGUCUGGGCUGCAUCUCCAACACGGCCUCGUACCUGCGGCUCUGGGCCCUCAGCCUGGCUCACGCCCAGUUGUCUGAGGUGCUGUGGUUAAUGGUGAUGCGGAUCUCCUUCCAGCAGCUCAGUUAUGUGGGCUCUGUCAUCAUGGUGGUUAUAUUUGCUGCCUUCGCUGUGCUAACCAUAUC
This is a long non-coding RNA of Sinocyclocheilus grahami, 269 nucleotides long. RefSeq lists it as uncharacterized. The transcript has 3 exons. The record is from RefSeq and is a predicted model, not a curated record. NCBI's taxonomy places the organism in Eukaryota, Metazoa, Chordata, Actinopteri, Cypriniformes, Cyprinidae.